UACAUAGGGUGCAAGCGUUGUCCGGAAUUAUUGGGCGUAAAGAGCUCGUAGGUCGUUUGCCGCGUCGAUUGUGAAAAUCUGAGGCUCAACCUCAGACCUGCAGUCGAUACGGGCAAACUAGAGUGUGGUAGGGGAGACUGGAAUUCCUGGUGUAGCGGUGGAAUGCGCAGAUAUCAGGAGGAACACCAAUGGCGAAGGCAGGUCUCUGGGCCAUAACUGACACUGAGGAGCGAAAGCGCGGGGAGCGAACAGGAUUAGAUACCCUGGUAGUCCGCGCCGUAAACGAUGGGCACUAGCUGUGAGAGCCUUCCACGGUUCUCGCGACGCAGCAAACGCAUUAAGUGCCCCGCCUGGGGAGUACGAUCGCAAGAUUAAAACUCAAAGGAAUUGACGGGGCCCCGCACAAGCAGCGGAGCAUGCGGCUUAAUUCGACGCAACGCGAAGAACCUUACCAAGGCUUGACAUAUAGCGAAAAGUGGCAGAGAUGUCAUGUCCGCAAGGGCGCUAUACAGGUGGUGCAUGGUUGUCGUCAGCUCGUGUCGUGAGAUGUUGGGUUAAGUCCCGCAACGAGCGCAACCCUCGUUCUGUGUUACCAGCAUUCAGUUGGGGACUCACAGGAGACUGCCGGGGUCAACUCGGAGGAAGGUGGGGAUGACGUCAAAUCAUCAUGCCCCUUAUGUCUUGGGCUGCACGCAUGCUACAAUGGCCGGUACAAAGUGCUGCGAAAUCGUAAGAUUUAGCGAAUCACAUAAAGCCGGCCUCAGUUCGGAUUGAGGUCUGCAACUCGACCUCAUGAAGUCGGAGUUGCUAGUAAUCGUGGAUCAGCAACGCUACGGUGAAUACGUUCCCGGGGCU
This 855-nucleotide ribosomal RNA is filed under the name uncultured bacterium. RNAcentral's name for it is "SSU rRNA". It matches the Rfam family "Bacterial small subunit ribosomal RNA", at positions 524 to 1381 of the family's 1533-position model. The record is from RNAcentral.